This is a small nucleolar RNA of Pezoporus flaviventris, 83 nucleotides long. RefSeq annotates it as small nucleolar RNA SNORD71. The transcript has a single exon. Lineage: Eukaryota; Metazoa; Chordata; Aves; Psittaciformes; Psittacidae. The record is from RefSeq and is a predicted model, not a curated record.
AGUGCUGUUGGAGGAUGAAGCCUUUCAUCCAUCGGCAGAGCAUGAUGUUACUAUGCUGAUGCUCAUGCUGCUGACAAUGCACU